Clupea harengus (Atlantic herring) is the source of this 2215-nucleotide long non-coding RNA. NCBI's taxonomy places the organism in Eukaryota, Metazoa, Chordata, Actinopteri, Clupeiformes, Clupeidae. The record is from Ensembl.
GUGAGAUACCACAGACCAACCAAGGUCAUCCCCAGCAGCCCAUAAAAAUAGCUGUGGUUUCGCUGCCUGACUCAUAACCCACAUGUGUGUUCAGCACUGCUGUGUAGGGAAGUGGCGUCAGCUCACCCCAAGCAGAGAAAAGAGAACCUCUCCCCGCACGGAGUGCCUCUCCUCUGUGGCAGUGUGUCCUGGGAAAGCUGAGAGCUGAUUGGCUGUGGCGGGCCCAGAGAGGAGCCCAGGGACCCUCCUCCUCCUCCUCCUCCUCAUUUUCAUCCUCACUGCUGUGCAUUCAUCCCCGCAGCGACUCCUCAAUCUGAAACAGCACUUUACGACGCUGACCUGUACGCGCCCCCCCCCCCCCAUCACUGUUGGUGCACAGCCCUCGAUCCAGUUCUAUUUAAGCCAGCUCUAUUUAAACAAAAGUCCUGAAAAGCACAUACUUGCACUCUUCCCCCCUCCCCUCCCUCUCCUAACCACUAGCCCUGACCAGUUCUCGGGGUGGGGUUCUUCAUGUCCAGCCUGUUUGAUCUUUAACACAGACAUGCUACUGUAGAUACGCUAAUAAGCUUAGCGGUAACGCAAACAGCAUCCAAGUCUACUACUACUUAAUACUUACAGGACACUAGCCAUAUUGCAGAGGCACUCGUUCUUUGCAUUCUCUCUCUCUCGGUCUCUCUCUCUUUCUAUCCCGCCACACUCCCCCAUCCCUUUUUCUUUUUCUGAUGGACGGGACCGAUGGACGCUCACAGACGGACACACGACAUGAUUGCACAUCAGAGACAGAGACUCUGUGCAAGCCUCAGGGCAUGAAGACCUGGUUGGUUGGUUGGUUGGUUGGUUGGUUGGUUGGUUGAUUGAUUGAUUGAUUGAUGGACGGAUUCAUAAAUGGGAUGACAAUUUUGAGGAACGAGUGAGGAAGUAGGGAAAUGGAGGAAAGGAAGUCUCCGUCAGCCUUCCCUGUUCCCUGUUCCCUGUGGUGCCUUUUCUUCAGGGCACAGGACACACUUAGUGCUAGCCAGACUUGUUGAUUGACAAGCCCGCAGCACCGAACUGCAGUGACUGACGUCUGGUGGGGGUUGGCCCCUCACUGUGUCUCGUCACUUGUAUGUAUGUAUGUAUGUUUGUGUAUGUGUUGUUGUUUUGUUUUAUUUUGUUGUUUGUUUUGGUUUGUCAUCAAGGAGAUUGCUGUGCAUGUGAGGCCAAAGGGAGAAGCUGUUUUCUGCCAAGCCUCCUUUUUUUUUUUUUUUACUCCCCGUUUCUUUCAUACUGUUUUCUCCCCAUAUUUCACCCCUUUUUUUUAAAUUGGACAAGUUAUUUCUUUCUUGCUGAGAUUGUGCUAGAUGUUGUAACUCUUUUCAUUCAGUGUCAAAUUGUUUCCUCAUUCUCUCACUUUCUCUCUCCCUUGCUCGCUCGCUCGCUCUCUCUCCUCUCUCUCUGUUUUGCCUGUACUUGCCUGCUUUUUUCUUUUGUUCUAAGGGUCCUGUGUCUUGAAACUGAGUUUAUCUGUAAACAAAACUGUCUUGUCAAAAACUGUGUUGUAUAUUAAAAAGAUUUUUUAAAAGAUGGAAAAAAAACCUUAUUGUGAAUAAAACACUUUACUGUGGAAGAGUGUUGAUAUAAUCUGUGUGUGCGUGUGUGUGCGAGCGCGCGUGUCUGUGACAUUAGUGUGUAAGCUAUCUUGUGUUCGAUAUUCUCCAUGGGGAUUUUGAUUAUUGAGGGGAUGAAGUAUAUGAAUGUAAACAUAUUUGUGAAGCUGAGUGAAAUCGUGUGUGUGUGUGUGCGCGCAUUGGGGAUCAGUGUGAAAUUUUAUGAAACACAACCAGCAUAACUGCUCAAAUAUGAUUAGUCACAAUAACGGGUCAUUCUUGAUUAAAUGUCCCAAAAGCUUCAGUAGACCGCCCACCUAGCCUACCUUUUGAAGCUAAAUUUCUGUCAGCAGUAUACAAUGUAAGUAUGUUUGUAUGUAUGGCCGAACCUUGCUGUCUGCAGUGCUUCUGUUUUUGUCCACCAGAUGGUGCUAGAACCUCAGUUUUAUCCGUGAGGCAUGUUAAAAGAGCAGUUGAGUCAAACCAAGGCCUUGCAUGCCUGAACAGAGCUGGACUGUUUACUCUCAAGGGCAUCUAGAAUUUGAAGAUAUUAAGUCCAAAGCCAUAUGUUUUGGGAUGUCUGUAUCAAUUCCCAUAAUGACUGAAAUAAAGACCUGAAGCGGGUGAUA